Molecule: ribosomal RNA, 449 nt
Filed under: uncultured bacterium
Lineage: Bacteria
Description: partial 16S ribosomal RNA
Rfam family: Bacterial small subunit ribosomal RNA
Source: RNAcentral
AACGAACGCUGGCGGCAUGCCUAACACAUGCAAGUCGAACGAGAUCUUCGGGUCUAGUGGCGCACGGGUGCGUAACGCGGGGGAAUCUGCCCUGUGGUUUGGAAUAACAGUUGGAAACGACUGCUAAUACGGGAUGAUGACGAAAGUCCAAAGAUUUAUCGACAGAGGAUGAGCCCGCGUAGGAUUAGCUAGUUGGUGUGGUAAAGGCGCACCAAGGCGACGAUUCUUAGCUGGUCUGAGAGGAUGAUCAGCCACACUGGGACUGAGACACGGCCCAGACUCCUACGGGAGGCAGCAGUGGGGAAUAUUGGACAAUGGGCGAAAGCCUGAUCCAGCAAUGCCGCGUGAGUGAUGAAGGCCUUAGGGUUGUAAAGCUCUUUUACCCGGGAUGAUAAUGACAGUACCGGGAGAAUAAGCUCCGGCUAACUCCGUGCCAGCCGCCGCAGUAA